This 72-nucleotide transfer RNA is filed under the name Ictidomys tridecemlineatus (thirteen-lined ground squirrel). RNAcentral describes it as "Spermophilus tridecemlineatus (thirteen-lined ground squirrel) tRNA". It matches the Rfam family "tRNA". Rfam says of the family: Transfer RNA (tRNA) molecules are approximately 80 nucleotides in length. Their secondary structure includes four short double-helical elements and three loops (D, anti-codon, and T loops). The record is from Rfam by way of RNAcentral. RNAcentral also lists the same sequence under 1 other name. Lineage: Eukaryota; Metazoa; Chordata; Mammalia; Rodentia; Sciuridae.
GGGGGUAUAGCUCAAUGGUAGAGCACUUGCCUAGCAUGUGUAAGGCCCUGAGUUCAAUCCCCAGUAGUACCA